AUGACAUGGAACGGGUACCAGAGAGGCGAGGACGAUGGGCCGUCGGAGUGCGACGGCAGGUACCACAGCGACGGGGACAUGGUCGCGGCACUUUCCACGCGCUGGUACGAGAGCGGGCGGCAGUGCAAGAGGAUGAUCCGCAUCACCAGCACGCAAAACGGGCGCACCGUGGAGGCCAAGGUGGUGGACGAGUGCGACUCCAACUCCCUCGCCGCGUGGAAAGCGCUCGGGCUCCACGUCAACGUCGGCGAGGCCCUCGUCACCUGGUCCGACGCCUGA
Molecule: ribosomal RNA, 279 nt
Filed under: Triticum aestivum (bread wheat)
Lineage: Eukaryota; Viridiplantae; Streptophyta; Magnoliopsida; Poales; Poaceae
Description: partial small subunit ribosomal RNA
Source: RNAcentral